Molecule: ribosomal RNA, 158 nt
Filed under: Fimetariella sp.
Lineage: Eukaryota; Fungi; Ascomycota; Sordariomycetes; Sordariales; Lasiosphaeriaceae
Description: partial large subunit ribosomal RNA
Rfam family: Eukaryotic large subunit ribosomal RNA
Source: RNAcentral
CGGCAACAGCUCAAAUUUGAAAUCUGGCCUUGUGCCCGAAUUGUAAUUUGAAGAGGAUGCUUUUGGUGAGGUGCCUUCUGAGUUCCCUGGAACGGGACGCCAGAGAGGGUGAGAGCCCCGUAUAGUUGGACACCAAGCCUCUGUAAAGCUCCUUCGAC